This 900-nucleotide long non-coding RNA is filed under the name Monodelphis domestica (gray short-tailed opossum). RNAcentral's name for it is "lncRNA (ENSMODG00000031386.2)". The record is from RNAcentral. Lineage: Eukaryota; Metazoa; Chordata; Mammalia; Didelphimorphia; Didelphidae.
CUGUCUCAGUUCUGCCUCCCCAUUGGCUGCCUUCCCAGGGGUGGGCGGGUUCGUUUCUAGAGUCACCGUGGCUCUCUAGCGCCCUUCAGAGGCAGAGAGUGGCAUCUCUCUUUCUUCCCAGGUUUUCCCCAGACAGUCUCAGCCCUGGUAUGCCAUCAUUGCGACUUAAGUGUGGAUUGUGUCAACCCAGAAACCUGUAAUGAAGGACAAUUUGUCUGUAUCUUGGACUUAAUUAAAGUUCCAAACUAUACCUCAGUUCAAAAGAUAUGCUUCUCAAGUUGUAAGGACUACCUUUUAUUAGAGAAUCCACAAAAAAAAGGCCGCAUUUCAAGCAAAAGCAAUGAAUCCCAUUGGCUCGAUCAACACAAUCUGCGUGCUGACUACCAUCAUCAUAAUGAAGUUGGAGUACACAAAGAAAAGGUCUCCCUGGAGCAUCUCAUUGUGUGCUGUGACAAAGACCUGUGUAACCAGGCCAGGAUCAGGAGUCCAGAAGGCUUAAUUCUUCUCUUUGGGCUCCUACUCAACUUCCUCCCCUCUUCAAUUCUGUGACAUUGUUAGACCCUUCUAAGACAAUUUUCUCAUAUUAAGAUCUCAUAGAAUAUUCAUAGUAAUUAAAAGUAAGUCGAAUUGACUUAUGCUGGACUUACACUCCGAUUUUGGUUUCUAAAUGUAUUUCUGGAAGGUUUAUCAGAGGACUUACCUGCUCAACUUGCCGAGCUGACAGAUUGGUCUUGUUUACCCUCUGAUUGUAUAUCAUCAGCUGGGGAUGAAUUGGUUGGCUCAGUAAGUCCUCUGGGCUAGAGCAGUUUGAUCCUUAAUGCUAGACCCCUAAAAGAGAGUCUAUGGGGCAGAUUUAUCUCUCCAUUUCCCCUUUUACAACAUAUAUGUCAGUACUCCUUG